UACGGAGGGUGCAAGCGUUAUCCGGAUUCACUGGGUUUAAAGGGUGCGUAGGUGGGUCUGUAAGUCAGUGGUGAAAUCUCCGUGCUUAACAUGGAAACUGCCAUUGAUACUAUAGGUCUUGAAUUUUCUGGAGGUCAGUGGAAUAUGUCAUGUAGCGGUGAAAUGCUUAGAUAUGACAUAGAACACCAAUUGCGAAGGCAGCUGGCUACAGGGAUAUUGACACUGAGGCACGAAAGCGUGGGGAUCAAACAGG
Molecule: ribosomal RNA, 253 nt
Filed under: uncultured bacterium
Lineage: Bacteria
Description: partial 16S ribosomal RNA
Rfam family: Bacterial small subunit ribosomal RNA
Source: RNAcentral